AUCCAACUGAUGGGUCCCAAAUGGGAAGAAAUGCACAUCCUGGAU
This 45-nucleotide non-coding RNA is filed under the name Trichobilharzia regenti. Lineage: Eukaryota; Metazoa; Platyhelminthes; Trematoda; Strigeidida; Schistosomatidae. The record is from RNAcentral.